Brassica oleracea var. oleracea is the source of this 501-nucleotide long non-coding RNA. RefSeq lists it as uncharacterized. The transcript is spliced from 2 exons. Lineage: Eukaryota; Viridiplantae; Streptophyta; Magnoliopsida; Brassicales; Brassicaceae. The record is from RefSeq and is a predicted model, not a curated record.
UUCUCCCACAUAAACAUCUUUCACUGGCCCUUUGUAAUUAUGAUUCUUCUCUUGACAUCAUUGCCUUCUAAAGGAGCAUCUCUAUCUCUCUAUAAAGAAAAUGCAAAACACAACAAACUUUCAUCUAUAUAACGCUUCUAUAUCUCUCCCACUUGAUCAAAUACAUCUCACUUCUCCUCUCUGUCUAUUCCUGAUCUCUCUUCAAGAUCCAAACAUGUGUCUAAGUUCUUCAAAACCAUUCUCACACACACCCACGAGACUAGUUUUGUACCUCAAAACAGAAACCCACGUUCACAUCCCUCGCCUCUCCAGGAGGAGAAAGAUGUGGCGAGAAGAAAAGGAGUUGGAGAUGAACAAUAUAAGACUCUACAUGGAGAAUCAAUACAUGAUACAAGAGAACGAGAAACUCAGGAAGAAAGCUCUUAUCCUUCACCAAGAAAACAAAGCUCUCCUCUCUCUGCUUCAGACCAAAAACGUUUCCCUUGUUCCAUAAAACAAAAA